GAUGAACGCUGGCGGCGUGCCUAAUACAUGCAAGUAGAACGCUGAAGCUUGGUGCUUGCACCGAGCGGAUGAGUUGCGAACGGGUGAGUAACGCGUAGGUAACCUGCCUGGUAGCGGGGGAUAACUAUUGGAAACGAUAGCUAAUACCGCAUGACAACAGUUAUUGCAUGAUAACUAUUUAAAAGGGGCAAUUGCUCCACUACCAGAUGGACCUGCGUUGUAUUAGCUAGUUGGUGAGGUAACGGCUCACCAAGGCGACGAUACAUAGCCGACCUGAGAGGGUGAUCGGCCACACUGGGACUGAGACACGGCCCAGACUCCUACGGGAGGCAGCAGUAGGGAAUCUUCGGCAAUGGACGGAAGUCUGACCGAGCAACGCCGCGUGAGUGAAGAAGGUUUUCGGAUCGUAAAGCUCUGUUGUAAGAGAAGAACGAGUGUGAGAGUGGAAAGUUCACACUGUGACGGUAUCUUACCAGAAAGGGACGGCUAACUACGUGCCAGCAGCCGCGGUAAUACGUAGGUCCCGAGCGUUAUCCGGAUUUAUUGGGCGUAAAGCGAGCGCAGGCGGUUAGAUAAGUCUGAAGUUAAAGGCUGUGGCUUAACCAUAGUACGCUUUGGAAACUGUUUAACUUGAGUGCAAGAGGGGAGAGUGGAAUUCCAUGUGUAGCGGUGAAAUGCGUAGAUAUAUGGAGGAACACCGGUGGCGAAAGCGGCUCUCUGGCUUGUAACUGACGCUGAGGCUCGAAAGCGUGGGGAACAAACAGG
This 765-nucleotide ribosomal RNA is filed under the name uncultured Streptococcus sp. RNAcentral's name for it is "bacterial SSU rRNA". It matches the Rfam family "Bacterial small subunit ribosomal RNA", at positions 28 to 776 of the family's 1533-position model. Lineage: Bacteria; Bacillati; Bacillota; Bacilli; Lactobacillales; Streptococcaceae. The record is from RNAcentral.